Molecule: transfer RNA, 96 nt
Organism: Rachicladosporium sp. CCFEE 5018
Lineage: Eukaryota; Fungi; Ascomycota; Dothideomycetes; Cladosporiales; Cladosporiaceae
Rfam family: tRNA
About the family: Transfer RNA (tRNA) molecules are approximately 80 nucleotides in length. Their secondary structure includes four short double-helical elements and three loops (D, anti-codon, and T loops).
Source: Rfam
UCCCCGAUGGUCUAGUGGUCAUGAUUUCCGCUUGUCAAAGACGAGUUCUAGCUUUAACGAGCGCGGGAGACCAGGGUUCGAUUCCCUGUCGAGGAG